UAAACUAACAUACUGUUUGAUUGAAUAUUUGAAAGAAUCAAACCUAAACUAACAUACUGUUUGAUUGAAUAUUUGAAAGAAUCAAACCUAAACUAACCAGGUUACCCCAUUCCCAAGCUUGCAGGGUAGGCACUGAAAAAGGUAGAUUGAAAAACAGAACUGUAUUACUAACCUAAAUGAAUGUAUUAUUCUAGUGUUUGUGUUAGAGAUAGGUUUACUGUUCAACAGGAUGAGGUUGGGUUGUUAAGUUUGAAAAUGGCUCUUAAUGAAGCAGUAAUAGGUUACUAUUUUGUCUGUGAUUGUUAAAUUAUUAGCAUGUGUAAAAGCUACAACUGCUAUAUGCUACAUAGUAAUAUUCUAUGUAUCUAUAUAUCUUUCCCUUUGCCCUAAUUAAAGGUUAAAUUCAAUAUCAAUGAAAAAUUUCUGCUCUUAUAAAUUGUCAAAAUGAGUUGUAGCCUAUUCCUAACUGAUCAGAAUUAGUUUGCAUCCUGAGAACACGUGAUUGAUGUAGUAUUUGUUUCAAUAGGCUAGAAAUUUAUCAUUUAAAUCAACACAAGGUUAUGUUAGCCAGUCAUUCAUUACACAUGUUUUUCUUUAGUUUGAGACAAGGUUAUGUUAGCCAGUCAUUCAUUACAUGUGUUUUUCUUUAGUUUGAGACAAGGUUAUGUUAGCCAGUCAUUCAUUACAUGUGUUUUUCUUUAGUUUGACACAAGGUUAUGUUAGCCAGUCAUUCAUUACAUGUGUUUUUCUUUAGUUUGACACAAGGUUAUGUUAGCCAGUCAUUCAUUACAUGUGUUUUUCUUUAGUUUGAGACAAGGUUAUGUUAGCCAGUCAUUCAUUACAAAUGUUUUUCUUUAGUUUGAGACAAGGUUAUGUUAGCCAGUCAUUCAUUACAAAUGUUUUUCUUUAGUUUGAGACAAGGUUAUGUUAGCCAGUCAUUCAUUACAUUCAUUUGACUAGCUUCCAUAACCUUCUCUCAAUGGACAGAAGUGACAAAACAAAUGACUAACAUAACCUGGUCUCAGUGUUACAAAGGGCAGAGCAAGUUAAUAGUGACAGAAAUAAACAUUACAAAAGAUUUAGCAACCGAAGGGACAGGAGUACGCAUUGCUACAGAUGACACAGUAACCCAAGUGUGAUAGGGAUUGUAAUGUUACGGAAGAUAUGGUGACGUAAGUGACGAGGACCGAGCGUUACAGACAGCGUAGUGACUUAAGCAUGACAGGGAUUGUAGAAAGAUUGUGGAAUGAUUGUAUAAAAAAAGAUACAGUAACUCAGCAGUGACAUAGAUACGUAAUGUUACUGAGGACAUGGUAACUUACGUGUGAUGAGGAUCGUAAUGUUGCAGAUGAACUAACAAUAAUUUAAGUGUCAGAAUUCAUCAUGUUACAAAUGGCAUAUUAAUUUUAGUGGCAUGGAUCAGAAUGUUACAAAAUAUAUACGUAUAUUAAGUGGCACAGAUCGUAAUGUUACAAGAUACAUGGUACCCACACCGAUAUGUAUAAGUAAUGUUAAAUGACAUAGUAACUUAAAUUAAAUGGAUAUAUUACGCUAAAAAAGCUUAGUAACCAAAGUGACAUGUAUACGUAAUGUUACAAAUGGCAUAGUAACAAAUAAAAUGGAUACGUAAUGUUAACAAGACUUAGUAACCAAAGUGAAUGAAUGCGUAAUGUUAACAAGACUUAGUAACCAAAGUGACAUAUACGUAAUGUUAGGGAUGACACAGUAACUUAAAUAUAAUGGUUAGUAAUGUUAACAAGACUUAGUAACCAAAGUGACAUAUACGUAAUGUUAGGGAUGACAGAGUAACUUAAAUAUAAUGGUUAGUAAUGUUAACAAGACUUAGUAACCAAAGUGACAUAUACGUAAUGUUAGGGAUCACACAGUAACUUAAAUAUAAUGGUUAGUAAUGUUAACAAGACUUAGUAACCAAAGUGACAUAUACGUAAUGUUAGGGAUGACACAGUAACUUCAGUAUAACAUGGAUCGUAAUGUUACAUCUACAUAAAGACGAGAAAUGAGCAUAACAGUGAGUGCCGGGUUGCCGUAAUCUUGCCUCAACGUACAGAGAUCAAAUUAACACACGACAUACAAAUUGCAGUUACUUAUACAAGAACUUCGUAGGUAAGGUUGACAAGUUAUAUUCCAUUAGUUUAAAUGACGUAAUCUCUCCUUGACAUACAGAGAUCAAAUGAACAUACGACAUACGACUGAAUUGAAGUUACUUAUACAAACAUCUCAAAGGUAAGGUUGGCAUAACUUAUAUUUUGCUAGUUUAAAUGAUGUAAUCUUCCCUUUACAUACAGAUCAAAGUAACAUACGACAUAUGAAAUGAAUUGAUGUUACUUAUACAAACAUACCAGUGAAAUGAGGUUACUUAUACAAACAUACCAGUGAAUUGAUGUUACUUAUACAAACAUACCAGUGAAAUGAUGUUACUUAUACAAACAUACCAGUGAAUUGAGGUUACUUAUACAAACAUACCAGUGAAAUGAGGUUACUUAUACAAACAUCUCGCAGGUUAAGGUUGACGUAACUUAUAUAGCGUUACUUUAAGAGAUGUAAUCUUGCCUAUACGUACAGAGAUCGAAGUAACAUCUCGAGAGUAGGGUUCAAGUAACUUAUAUUUCGUUAGUUUAAGGUUACAUAUACUUACAAUAAAGUCGUAAAGAGGGAAAGAAUAAAGGUGUGUGGAAAAGGUCAUCUUAUUGCCUACAAACACCAAGAGAGACAAAUAUUGGGGCGAGGGAGGGAGGGCAGGGUAACAAAUACACACGCACACACACACACACAAAAAAUAAUAAAUAAAUAAAUAAAUAAUUAAAUAAAAACACUGA
This is a long non-coding RNA of Eriocheir sinensis (Chinese mitten crab), 2837 nucleotides long. RefSeq lists it as uncharacterized. Lineage: Eukaryota; Metazoa; Arthropoda; Malacostraca; Decapoda; Varunidae. The record is from RefSeq and is a predicted model, not a curated record. The transcript has 3 exons.